This 253-nucleotide ribosomal RNA is filed under the name uncultured bacterium. Its description in RNAcentral is "partial 16S ribosomal RNA". It matches the Rfam family "Bacterial small subunit ribosomal RNA", at positions 524 to 776 of the family's 1533-position model. The record is from RNAcentral.
GACGUAGGGCGCGAGCGUUGUCCGGAUUUAUUGGGCGUAAAGCGUGCGUAGACGGUUAUUUAAGUCGGAUGUGAAAGCCCCGGGCUCAACCUGGGAAUUGCAUUCGAGACUGAAUAGCUAGGGUGCGGUAGAGGGAAGCGGAAUUUCCGGUGUAGCGGUGAAAUGCGUAGAUAUCGGAAGGAACAUCAGUGGCGAAAGCGGCUUCCUGGACCAGCACCGACGUUCAGGCACGAAAGCGUGGGGAGCAAACAGG